This 253-nucleotide ribosomal RNA is filed under the name uncultured bacterium. Its description in RNAcentral is "partial 16S ribosomal RNA". It matches the Rfam family "Bacterial small subunit ribosomal RNA", at positions 524 to 776 of the family's 1533-position model. The record is from RNAcentral.
UACGAAGGGGGCGAGCGUUGUUCGGAAUUACUGGGCGUAAAGGGCGCGUAGGCGGCGAUCCGAGUCAGAUGUGAAAGUCCUGGGCUUAACCUGGGGACUGCAUUUGAUACUGGAUUGCUUGAAUUCGGGAGAGGAUAGCGGAAUUCCCAGUGUAGAGGUGAAAUUCGUAGAUAUUGGGAAGAACACCGGUGGCGAAGGCGGCUAUCUGGACCGACAUUGACGCUGAGGCGCGAAAGCGUGGGGAGCAAACAGG